CACGUAGGGGGCAAGCGUUGUCCGGAUUUAUUGGGCGUAAAGAGCUCGUAGGCGGUUCGGCAAGUCGGGUGUGAAACCCCCAGGCUCAACCUGGGGACGCCACCCGAUACUGCUGUGACUUGAGUCCGGUAGGGGAGCGUGGAAUUCCUGGUGUAGCGGUGAAAUGCGCAGAUAUCAGGAGGAACACCGAUGGCGAAGGCAGGUCUCUGGGCAUUAACUGACGCUGAGGAGCGAAAGCAUGGGGAGCGAACAGG
Molecule: ribosomal RNA, 254 nt
Filed under: uncultured bacterium
Lineage: Bacteria
Description: partial 16S ribosomal RNA
Rfam family: Bacterial small subunit ribosomal RNA
Source: RNAcentral